UCCUACGGGAGGCAGCAGUGAGGAAUAUUGGUCAAUGGACGCAAGUCUGAACCAGCCAUGUCGCGUGUAGGAUGACUGCCCUAUGGGUUGUAAACUACUUUUUUACAGGAAUAAACUUUUCCACGUGUGGAGAACUGAAGGUACUGUAGGAAUAAGGAUCGGCUAACUCCGUGCCAGCAGCCGCGGUAAUACGGAGGAUUCGAGCGUUAUCCGGAUUUAUUGGGUUUAAAGGGUCCGUAGGCGGGCUUGUAAGUCAGUGGUGAGAUCUCACAGCUCAACUGUGAAACUGCCAUUGAUACUGCAGGUCUUGAAUUUAGUUGAGAUGGGCGGAAUACGAUAUGUAGCGGUGAAAUGCAUAGAUAUAUCGUAGAACACCGAUUGCGAAGGCAGCUCACUAAGCUAAUAUUGACGCUGAUGGACGAAAGCGUGGGGAGCGAACAGGAUUAGAUACCCUGGUAGUCCACGUCGUAAACGAUGAUCACUCGUUGUGCGCGAUACAUUGUGCGCGACUGAGCGAAAGCAUUAAGUGAUCCACCUGGGGAGUACGUUGGCAACAAUGAAACUCAAAUGAAUUGACGG
RNAcentral lists this ribosomal RNA (579 nucleotides) under uncultured bacterium. RNAcentral describes it as "bacterial SSU rRNA". It matches the Rfam family "Bacterial small subunit ribosomal RNA", at positions 337 to 916 of the family's 1533-position model. The record is from RNAcentral.